GUCCAGACUCCUACGGGAGGCAGCAGUGGGGGAUAUUGCACAAUGGGGGAAACCCUGAUGCAGCGACGCCGCGUGGGUGAAGAAGCGCCUCGGCGCGUAAAGCCCUGUCAGCAGGGAAGAAAAUGACGGUACCUGAAGAAGAAGCCCCGGCUAACUACGUGCCAGCAGCCGCGGUAAUACGUAGGGGGCAAGCGUUAUCCGGAUUUACUGGGUGUAAAGGGAGCGUAGACGGCUGGUCAAGUCUGAAGUGAAAGCCCGGGGCUUAACCCCGGAACGGCGUUGGAAACUGAGCAGCUAGAGUGCUGGAGAGGUAAGCGGAAUUCCUAGUGUAGCGGUGAAAUGCGUAGAUAUUAGGAGGAACACCAGUGGCGAAGGCGGCUUACUGGACAGUAACUGACGUUGAGGCUCGAAAGCGUGGGGAGCAAACAGGAUUAGAUACCCUCGUACU
Molecule: ribosomal RNA, 448 nt
Filed under: uncultured bacterium
Lineage: Bacteria
Description: bacterial SSU rRNA
Rfam family: Bacterial small subunit ribosomal RNA
Source: RNAcentral